This 2810-nucleotide ribosomal RNA is filed under the name Neisseria gonorrhoeae. RNAcentral describes it as "bacterial LSU rRNA". It matches the Rfam family "Bacterial large subunit ribosomal RNA". Lineage: Bacteria; Pseudomonadati; Pseudomonadota; Betaproteobacteria; Neisseriales; Neisseriaceae. The record is from RNAcentral.
AGUGCAUCAGGCGGAUGCCUUGGCGAUGAUAGGCGACGAAGGACGUGUAAGCCUGCGAAAAGCGCGGGGGAGCUGGCAAUAAAGCUAUGAUUCCGCGAUGUCCGAAUGGGGAAACCCACUGCAUUCUGUGCAGUAUCCUAAGUUGAAUACAUAGGCUUAGAGAAGCGAACCCGGAGAACUGAACCAUCUAAGUACCCGGAGGAAAAGAAAUCAACCGAGAUUCCGCAAGUAGUGGCGAGCGAACGCGGAGGAGCCUGUACGUAAUAACUGUCGAGAUAGAAGAACAAGCUGGGAAGCUUGACCAUAGCGGGUGACAGUCCCGUAUUCGAAAUCUCAACAGCGGUACUAAGCGUACGAAAAGUAGGGCGGGACACGUGAAAUCCUGUCUGAAUAUGGGGGGACCAUCCUCCAAGGCUAAAUACUCAUCAUCGACCGAUAGUGAACCAGUACCGUGAGGGAAAGGCGAAAAGAACCCCGGGAGGGGAGUGAAACAGAACCUGAAACCUGAUGCAUACAAACAGUGGGAGCGCCCUAGUGGUGUGACUGCGUACCUUUUGUAUAAUGGGUCAACGACUUACAUUCAGUAGCGAGCUUAACCGGAUAGGGGAGGCGUAGGGAAACCGAGUCUUAAUAGGGCGAUGAGUUGCUGGGUGUAGACCCGAAACCGAGUGAUCUAUCCAUGGCCAGGUUGAAGGUGCCGUAACAGGUACUGGAGGACCGAACCCACGCAUGUUGCAAAAUGCGGGGAUGAGCUGUGGGUAGGGGUGAAAGGCUAAACAAACUCGGAGAUAGCUGGUUCUCCCCGAAAACUAUUUAGGUAGUGCCUCGAGCAAGACACUGAUGGGGGUAAAGCACUGUUAUGGCUAGGGGGUUAUUGCAACUUACCAACCCAUGGCAAACUCAGAAUACCAUCAAGUGGUUCCUCGGGAGACAGACAGCGGGUGCUAACGUCCGUUGUCAAGAGGGAAACAACCCAGACCGCCGGCUAAGGUCCCAAAUGAUAGAUUAAGUGGUAAACGAAGUGGGAAGGCACAGACAGCCAGGAUGUUGGCUUAGAAGCAGCCAUCAUUUAAAGAAAGCGUAAUAGCUCACUGGUCGAGUCGUCCUGCGCGGAAGAUGUAACGGGGCUCAAAUCUAUAACCGAAGCUGCGGAUGCCGGUUUACCGGCAUGGUAGGGGAGCGUUCUGUAGGCUGAUGAAGGUGCAUUGUAAAGUGUGCUGGAGGUAUCAGAAGUGCGAAUGUUGACAUGAGUAGCGAUAAAGCGGGUGAAAAGCCCGCUCGCCGAAAGCCCAAGGUUUCCUACGCAACGUUCAUCGGCGUAGGGUAAGUCGGCCCCUAAGGCGAGGCAGAAAUGCGUAGUCGAUGGGAAACAGGUUAAUAUUCCUGUACUUGAUUCAAAUGCGAUGUGGGGACGGAGAAGGUUAGGUUGGCAAGCUGUUGGAAUAGCUUGUUUAAGCCGGUAGGUGGAAGACUUAGGCAAAUCCGGGUUUUCUUAACACCGAGAAGUGAUGACGAGUGUCUACGGACACGAAGCAACCGAUACCACGCUUCCAGGAAAAGCCACUAAGCUUCAGUUUGAAUCGAACCGUACCGCAAACCGACACAGGUGGGCAGGAUGAGAAUUCUAAGGCGCUUGAGAGAACUCGGGAGAAGGAACUCGGCAAAUUGAUACCGUAACUUCGGGAGAAGGUAUGCCCUCUAAGGUUAAGGACUUGCUCCGUAAGCCCCGGAGGGUCGCAGAGAAUAGGUGGCUGCGACUGUUUAUUAAAAACACAGCACUCUGCCAACACGAAAGUGGACGUAUAGGGUGUGACGCCUGCCCGGUGCCGGAAGGUUAAUUGAAGAUGUGCAAGCAUCGGAUCGAAGCCCCGGUAAACGGCGGCCGUAACUAUAACGGUCCUAAGGUAGCGAAAUUCCUUGUCGGGUAAGUUCCGACCCGCACGAAUGGCGUAACGAUGGCCACACUGUCUCCUCCCGAGACUCAGCGAAGUUGAAGUGGUUGUGAAGAUGCAAUCUACCCGCUGCUAGACGGAGAGACCCCGUGAACCUUUACUGUAGCUUUGCAUUGGACUUUGAAGUCACUUGUGUAGGAUAGGUGGGAGGCUUGGAAGCAGAGACGCCAGUCUCUGUGGAGUCGUCCUUGAAAUACCACCCUGGUGUCUUUGAGGUUCUAACCCAGACCCGUCAUCCGGGUCGGGGACCGUGCAUGGUAGGCAGUUUGACUGGGGCGGUCUCCUCCCAAAGCGUAACGGAGGAGUUCGAAGGUUACCUAGGUCCGGUCGGAAAUCGGACUGAUAGUGCAAUGGCAAAAGGUAGCUUAACUGCGAGACCGACAAGUCGGGCAGGUGCGAAAGCAGGACAUAGUGAUCCGGUGGUUCUGUAUGGAAGGGCCAUCGCUCAACGGAUAAAAGGUACUCCGGGGAUAACAGGCUGAUUCCGCCCAAGAGUUCAUAUCGACGGCGGAGUUUGGCACCUCGAUGUCGGCUCAUCACAUCCUGGGGCUGUAGUCGGUCCCAAGGGUAUGGCUGUUCGCCAUUUAAAGUGGUACGUGAGCUGGGUUUAAAACGUCGUGAGACAGUUUGGUCCCUAUCUGCAGUGGGCGUUGGAAGUUUGACGGGGGCUGCUCCUAGUACGAGAGGACCGGAGUGGACGAACCUCUGGUGUACCGGUUGUAACGCCAGUUGCAUAGCCGGGUAGCUAAGUUCGGAAGAGAUAAGCGCUGAAAGCAUCUAAGCGCGAAACUCGCCUGAAGAUGAGACUUCCCUUGCGGUUUAACCGCACUAAAGGGUCGUUCGAGACCAGGACGUUGA